GACGAACGCUGGCGGCGUGCUUAACACAUGCAAGUCGAACGAAGUGGCGGACGGGUGAGUAACGCGUAAUCAACCUGCCCUUCGGGGGGGGACAACAGUUGGAAACGACUGCUAUUACCGCAUACUGAAGGAGGGGAUUGCGUCUGAUUAGCUAGGUGGAGGGGUAACGGCCCACCAAGGCGAUGAUCAGUAGGCGGUCUGAGAGGAUGAACGGCCACAUUGGGACUGAGACACGGCCCAGACUCCUACGGGAGGCAGCAGUGGGGAAUCUUCCGAAAUGGACGAAAGUCUGACGGAGCAACGCCGCGUGAGUGAUGACGGCCUUCGGGUUGUAAAGCUCUGUUAAUCGGGACGCGGUACCGGAAUAGAAAGCCACGGCUAACUACGUGCCAGCAGCCGCGGUAAUUC
This 408-nucleotide ribosomal RNA is filed under the name uncultured bacterium. Its description in RNAcentral is "partial 16S ribosomal RNA". It matches the Rfam family "Bacterial small subunit ribosomal RNA", at positions 28 to 526 of the family's 1533-position model. The record is from RNAcentral.